UCCGAGUUGACCCCGGCAGUCUCCUGCGAGUCCCCGCCAUUACGCGCUGGCAACACAGGACAAGGGUUGCGCUCGUUGCGGGACUUAACCCAACAUGUCACCACACGAGCUGACGACAGCCAUGCAGCACCUGUCAUCCGGUCGUAUUGCUACGAAAGCCGUGUCUCCACGGUUGUCCGGAGAUGUCAAACCCAGGUAAGGUUCUUCGCGUUGCUUCGAAUUAAACCACAUGAUCCACCGCUUGUGCGGGCCCCCGUCAAUUCCUUUGAGUUUUAGUCUUGCGACCGUACUUCCCAGGCGGGGUACUUAGUGCGUUAGCUCCGGCUCAGCAGGGGUCAAGACCCGCCCAGCCUAGUACCCAUCGUUUACAGCGUGGACUAC
Molecule: unclassified non-coding RNA, 381 nt
Filed under: uncultured Oligoflexales bacterium
Lineage: Bacteria; Pseudomonadati; Bdellovibrionota; Oligoflexia; Oligoflexales
Description: contains 16S-23S intergenic spacer region
Source: RNAcentral